AAUGGACGAAAGUCUGACGGAGCGACGCCGCGUGGAUGAAGAAGGCCGAAAGGUUGUAAAAUCCUUUUGUCGAUGAAGAAUAAGCAUGGGAGGGAAUGCCCGUGUGAUGACGUUAGUCGGCGAAUAAGCCCCGGCUAAUUACGUGCCAGCAGCCGCGGUAACACGUAAGGGGCGAGCGUUGUUCGGAAUUAUUGGGCGUAAAGGGCGCGUAGGCGGUCUUGUAAGCCCGGCGUGAAAACCUGGAGCUCAACUCCGGGCCUGCGCUGGGAACUGCGGGACUAGAGUCAUGGAAGGGAAGUUGGAAUUCCAGGUGUAGGGGUGAAAUCUGUAGAUAUCUGGAAGAACACCGGUGGCGAAGGCGGCUCUCUGGACCGAUACUGACGCUGAGACGCGAAAGCGUGGGUAGCAAA
Molecule: ribosomal RNA, 410 nt
Filed under: uncultured bacterium
Lineage: Bacteria
Description: bacterial SSU rRNA
Rfam family: Bacterial small subunit ribosomal RNA
Source: RNAcentral